CAGACUAUGACUCAUGAAGAAAAUCCCAGACAUAAGAUACAAGAAAAACAGCUAUAAAAUUACUAUAAAUUUUUUCAGUCUAUCCAUCCUAUCGAAGUGGUCCUGCUGUUCCCCACAUUCAAAGGAGAGGUUCUCAAACUUUUAGCAGCAAAUCCCUGAGAAAUAUUCUCCACUUUGUUUCUCACUUCAGCACCACAAGAAAAUUUUCAGAUCUGAAAUUUUUGACUGUCAGAUCUUUGAGAUGGAUGAAAGAAGAUGAAGUUCCUUCUUUAAAUUUGCAAGAGUUCUGCAUCCAGUGGCUUCCAUUGUGGUAUACAAUAUGUAUAAUUACUUAAACUAAAUAUGAAUACAAUACACACUAUAUCUCAUAACAAUAAAUAAAAGGACAAUGAAAUGAUGCAAUAUAAUCCUCUAAAAUGUCAACUACAAAAAUAUUAAUUGCUACCAGAAUCUCAUAAUG
Crotalus tigris (Tiger rattlesnake) is the source of this 460-nucleotide long non-coding RNA. RefSeq lists it as uncharacterized. NCBI's taxonomy places the organism in Eukaryota, Metazoa, Chordata, Lepidosauria, Squamata, Viperidae. The record is from RefSeq and is a predicted model, not a curated record. The transcript has 3 exons.